This 468-nucleotide ribosomal RNA is filed under the name uncultured bacterium. RNAcentral's name for it is "partial 16S ribosomal RNA". It matches the Rfam family "Bacterial small subunit ribosomal RNA", at positions 28 to 507 of the family's 1533-position model. The record is from RNAcentral.
GACGAACGCUGGCGGCGUGCUUAACACAUGCCAGUCGAACGGACAGGCCCUGCUUUUGUGGGGUGCUCGAGUGGCGCACGGGUGAGUGACACGUGAGUAACCUGCCCUUGACUUUGGGAUAACUUCAGGAAACUGGGGCUAAUACCGGAUAGGAGCUCCUGCUGCAUGGUGUUCGUUGGAAAGUUUCGGCGGUUGGGGAUGGACUCGCGGCUUAUGCGCUGGUUGGGGGGGUAGUUGCAUACCAAGGCUUUGACGGAUAGCCGGCAUGGGAGGGUGAACGGGGACAUGGGGCCUGCGAUACGGCCCAGAAGCCGACGGGAGGCAGUAGGGGGGAAUAUGGCACAGUGGGGGGACGCGUGAUGUAGAAACGCUGCGUUCGGAAUGACGGGCUACGGGGUGUAAACCGAUGUGGCAGUUGACGAAGCGUGAUUGACGGUAAUGGGUAAAGAAGCACCGGCUAACUACGUG